CAGAGGAACUUAGUCAUUGACUGUGGUGGGGCUGCAGGACGAUAAGAAUUCGGAAGUGAAAGAACUCAGAAGGCAGUGCCAGCAGCUGGAGUCUGUUAAACGGAGCAGUCUGUGUCAAAAGAGCUUCUCUCCAGAGUAGAAAGACGGAGUCUCACUCUGUAGCCCAGGCUGGAGUGCGAUGGCGCGAUCUUGGCUCACCACAAGCUCCCCCUCCCGGGUUCACGCCAUUCUCCUGCCUCUGCCUCGUGAGUAGCUGGAACUACUGGCGCCUGCCACCACAUCCAGCUAAUUUUUUUGUAUUUUUAGUGCAGACUGGGUUUCACCGUGUUAGCCAGGAUGGUCUGGAUCUCCUGACCUUGGGAUCCGCCCGCCUCGGCCUCCGAAAGUGCUGAGAUUACCGGCGUGAGCCACUGUGCCCGGCCGAGACUUUUAAUUAUGCAAUGCCAGACUGCAUUGCAUAAACCAAAGGCCAACAGAGAGGUGACCUUUCAAAUUACUGGCACAAGAAGAGCUGAGAUCAGAAAGCUCCAACUUAAUGCAAACAUCGACAAGAAAUCCGACAGAAAUGACUUCUGUGUCUGGUCAACUUAACAUAACAUGACAUAUUGUCAAGCGCAUUUGGCUUUUUAGGUAGAAUUGUCUAUAAAGGUUUAACUGCUUUAGAAAAUAUAAAUGUGAAGAUUUGUGGUAUUUGGGUUUAUAUAUAAGAUAUUUCUACAUUGAAAAGAGACUGGAAAAGCUUGGUAUAAGAUUUGUAAAAUAUGUUUGUAAUAAUGCUAAUGGAAGAGGUGAGAUUUGGGUGGGGUGGGGUGUAGAUGGGAACAUGGUUUGGGGAUUGGGGAAAGGGAAGUCAUGCUGUUAAUAAAAUAGUGAGGCAUGUUGUAUAAAGUGUGUUUUAUGUCUCAAUUGAAAUGUUAUAGAGAUAAAUUUAAAAUAGAUCAUGAUGGGUUUUGAAUCUGAUUUCUAAUUUUAAAAUGUUAUGAGCUUUUGUUGCUUUCCUAUUUCAUACACAUUUCUUUAUGGGUUUCACUUAGACUGCAUGAAAUUGCAGAUGCCAAUUACCUUUUAACAAAAUUAAAUUCACAUAUAUGUAUAAUUUGCAUGUAUAUAUCCAUGGAAUUUUUUAUUCUACACGAUAUAUUAUUUUAAAAUGGUUUUUCAAUGACAAAAUAAAAAGUAUUUUUCUAUA
RNAcentral lists this long non-coding RNA (1189 nucleotides) under Homo sapiens (human). Its description in RNAcentral is "lncAB194.1". Lineage: Eukaryota; Metazoa; Chordata; Mammalia; Primates; Hominidae. The record is from RNAcentral.